AUGGAAAUUGUCCAUACUUACGGGAAGCCUGACAUCUUCUUGACCAUGACCUGCAACCCUAACUGGGAAGAGAUAAUGAAUGAGUUGUUUCCUGGUCAGACAGCGCAAGACCGACCUGAUCUUGUGGCUCGUGUGUUCCAUGGCAAGCUAGAGGCUAUGAAAGAGAUGUUGUUCAAGAAGAAUAUCCUGGGUGUUGUUGUUGCACAUGUAUACGUAGUCGAGUUCCAAAAGAGGGGCCUC
Molecule: ribosomal RNA, 240 nt
Filed under: Triticum aestivum (bread wheat)
Lineage: Eukaryota; Viridiplantae; Streptophyta; Magnoliopsida; Poales; Poaceae
Description: partial small subunit ribosomal RNA
Source: RNAcentral